RNAcentral lists this ribosomal RNA (432 nucleotides) under uncultured bacterium. Its description in RNAcentral is "bacterial SSU rRNA". It matches the Rfam family "Bacterial small subunit ribosomal RNA", at positions 43 to 523 of the family's 1533-position model. The record is from RNAcentral.
CAGGCCUAACACAUGCAAGUCGAACGCCCCGCAAGGGGAGUGGCAGACGGGUGAGUAACACGUGGGAACGUACCCUUUGGUUCGGAACAACCCUGGGAAACUAGGGCUAAUACCGGAUACGCGCGAGAGCGGAAAGGUUUACCGCCGAAGGAUCGGCCCGCGUCUGAUUAGCUAGUUGGUGAGGUAACGGCUCACCAAGGCGACGAUCAGUAGCUGGUCUGAGAGGAUGAUCAGCCACAUUGGGACUGAGACACGGCCCAAACUCCUACGGGAGGCAGCAGUGGGGAAUAUUGGACAAUGGGCGCAAGCCUGAUCCAGCCAUGCCGCGUGAGUGAUGACGGCCCUAGGGUUGUAAAGCUCUUUUACCUGGGAAGAUAAAAACGGUACCAGGAGAAUAAGCCCCGGCUAAAUUCGUGCCAGCAGCCGCGGUAA